This 1899-nucleotide long non-coding RNA is filed under the name Zonotrichia albicollis (white-throated sparrow). Its description in RNAcentral is "lncRNA (ENSZALG00000000683.1)". Lineage: Eukaryota; Metazoa; Chordata; Aves; Passeriformes; Passerellidae. The record is from RNAcentral.
GGAACCAUCAAACAUCUCCAGAACUCCUCAAACAUCUCCAGAACAUCUCGAGAAGCCCUCAAACCCUUCCAGAACAUCUCAAGAACUUCCCAGGAACCUCCAAACACCUCAAGGAACACCUCAAACCCCUGGAGAACCUUCCAGGACCACCUAAAACACCUUGAGGAACCCACAAACACCUCCAGAACCCCUCAAACAUCUCCAGAACCCCUCGAGGAACCCCAAAACCCCUGGAGAAACUUCCAGAACCCCCUCAAACACCUCGAGGAAACCUCAAACACCUCCAGAACUCCUCAGACAUCUCCAGAACAUCUCAAGAACUUCCCAGGAACCUCCAAACACCUGAGGAACCUCCUCAAACCCCUCCAGAACAUCUCAAACAUCUCCAGAACACCUCGAGGAACCAUCAAACCCUUCCAGAACAUCUCAAGAACUUCCCAGGAACCCUCAAACAUCUCCAGAACACCUCAAACCCCUGGAGAACCUUCCAGAACCACCUCAAACACCUUGAGGAACCAUCAAACACCUCCGGAACAUCUCAAGAACUUCCCAGGAACCUCCAAACACCUGAGGAACCCCUCAAACAUCUCCAGAACCCNCUCAAACACCUUGAGGAACCAUCAAACACCUCCGGAACAUCUCAAGAACUUCCCAGGAACCCUCAAACAUCUCAAGGAACCCCUCAAACACCUCCAGAACCACUCAGUCAUCUCCAGAACAUCUCAAGAACUUCCCAGGAACCCUCCAACAUCUCAAGGAACCCCCAAACCCCUGGAGAACCUUCCAGAACCCCCUCAAACAUCUCCAGAACAUCUCAAGAACUUCUGCAAGAACCCCCAAACACCUCAAGAACAUCUUGAGGAACCCCAAAACCCCUGGAGAACCUUCCAGAACCACCUCAAACACCCAAACCCCAACAAUCUCAACCCCAAAGCAACACCCGGAUCCCAACACCCAAAUCCUAAAAAACCACACCUGGAUCCCAACAACCGGAACCCCAAAGGAACACCCGGAUCCCAACACCCAAAUCCCAAGAAACAACACCCGGAUCCCAACAACUGGAACCCCAAAGGAACACCCGGAUCCCAAACACCCAAAUCCCAACAACCCCAACCUGAAAGGAACACUCAGAUCCCAAAAAGAACACCCGGAUCCCAACAGCCUCAACCCCAAUGGAACACCCAGAUCCCAACACCCAAAUCCCAUAAAAUCACACCCCAAUCCCAAAAGGAACACCUGGACCCCAAAGGAACACCCAAACCCCAACAACCUCACCCCAAAAGAACACCCGGAUCCCAAAGGAACACUCAGAUCCCAACAACCUCAACCCCAAUGGAACACCCAAAUCCCAACACCCAAAUCCCAACAAACAACACCCGGAUUCCAACAACCGGAACCCCAAAGGAACACCCGGAUCCCAAAGGAACACCUGGAUCCCAAAAGGAACACCCGGAUCCCAACAGCCUCAACUCCAAUGGAACACCCGGAUCCCAACAGCCUCAAACCCAAAGGAACACCCGAAUCCCAACACCCAAAUCCCAUAAACCACACCCCAAUCCCAAAACAACACCUGGACCCCAAAAGAACACCCGGAUCCCAACAACCUCAACCCCAAUGGAACACCCGUAUCCCAAAAACAACACUCGGACCCCAAACACCCAAAUCUUGACAAACAACACUCGGAUCCCAAAAGGAACACCCAAAUCCCAACACCCAAACCCCAACAACCCAAGCCCAAAAGAACAAUCGGAUCCCAAGGGAACACCCGGAUCCCAACAACCAAAUCCAGAUCCCAAAAAGAACACCCAGAUCCCAACAAGCUCAACCCCAAAGCAACACCCAAAUCCCAAAACCCAAAUCCCAAAGGAACACCCGGAUCCCAACACCCAAAUCCCAUAA